This 117-nucleotide ribosomal RNA is filed under the name Ignavibacteriaceae bacterium. The record is from RNAcentral. Lineage: Bacteria; Pseudomonadati; Ignavibacteriota; Ignavibacteria; Ignavibacteriales; Ignavibacteriaceae.
UCUGGUGAUUAUAGCUAGGAGGUCACACCUCUUCCCAUUCCGAACAGAGAAGUUAAGCUCCUAUACGCCGAUGAUACUGCACGCGCUGGUGUGUGGGAAAGUAGGUAGUUGCCAGGA